This is a long non-coding RNA of Cyprinus carpio (common carp), 361 nucleotides long. RefSeq lists it as uncharacterized. NCBI's taxonomy places the organism in Eukaryota, Metazoa, Chordata, Actinopteri, Cypriniformes, Cyprinidae. The transcript has 4 exons. The record is from RefSeq and is a predicted model, not a curated record.
CAACAGACCAUCAUCAAAAUAUGUAAAUGGAUUUACAUCUAAUACAGCCUCAGGAAGACCUCCAGUGCAGGCCUCAACAAGCUGGCUCCACACAGAGACAAUGGAAAGACCAAAAAAAAAACUUCUGCAGUAAUGGAGCCAAAAGACUGAACUUGCCAGCCAUACCACCAUUUGCACCAUCAGCACCUGCUGUGACAGUCCCUGAACCAAGACAAGAUGAUGCAGCCAAAAAACAAGGAGCAAAAGUGGUGGAAGCCGAGGAAAAAAUAAAAACCUGGCUGAAGUAUAGUGGAGACCGAAAUGGAGGAAGAAAAAAAAGAGCAACAGAAAAAGAAAAGCAGAAGCCUCAAGCAUAUUCCCA